This 459-nucleotide ribosomal RNA is filed under the name uncultured bacterium. RNAcentral describes it as "partial 16S ribosomal RNA". It matches the Rfam family "Bacterial small subunit ribosomal RNA", at positions 338 to 795 of the family's 1533-position model. The record is from RNAcentral.
CCUACGGGAGGCAGCAGUGAGGAAUAUUGGUCAAUGGGAGAGAUCCUGAACCAGCCACGCCGCGUGAGGGAAUACGGCCCUAUGGGUUGUAAACCUCUUUUGUCGGGGAGCAAAACCCGGGACGUGUCCCGGACUGCGCGUAUCCGAACAAGAAACAUCGGCUAACUCCGUGCCAGCAGCCGCGGUAAUACUGAGGACACGAGCGUUAUCCGGAUUUAUUGGGUUUAAAGGGUGCGUAGGCGGUCCGGUAAGUCAGCGGUAAAAUUAUGGGGCUCAACCCCGCCGAGCCGUUGAAGCUGGCAGACUGGAGUUGGCGAGAAGUACGCGGAAUGCGCGGUGUAGCGGUGAAAUGCGUAGAUAUCGGGCAGAACCCCGAUUGCGAAGGCAGCGUACCGGCGCCAGACUGACGCUGAGGCACGAAAGCGUGGGGAUAGAACAGGAUUAGAUACCCCAGUAGUC